Helianthus annuus (common sunflower) is the source of this 2452-nucleotide long non-coding RNA. RefSeq lists it as uncharacterized. The record is from RefSeq and is a predicted model, not a curated record. The transcript has 8 exons. NCBI's taxonomy places the organism in Eukaryota, Viridiplantae, Streptophyta, Magnoliopsida, Asterales, Asteraceae.
UUUUUCUUAACCUAGAUCUCAUAAAAAACCAGGACACCUCCUUUUCUUUUUGGUUCUGGCAUUACGAUUUAAAGGGUUUCUUGUUCGCAAAAAGAAGUAGAAAAAAGGAUAUUGAAACCCUAAUUUUGGGAAAGAUUACAAAAGCGGUUUUCGCAGUUUUGCAAAAAGGGAUCUUCAAACCCUAACUUUUGCUCUGUUGGCAUUCCUCAAACCAAAAGAGGAGGAACAUAAACCUACUCAAAUUAAAGGAGAUGAUCUGUUGAUGUGGGCGUUUGAGCCCUUGUCGACGUUGUUAUCGGCCGGAGUACCCGUAUCGUCAACUAAGGUCGCUGAAUUGCUCGUUUCACACUUAUAUUGGUCCAAUAAUGUGCCGAUUGCGUGGAAGUUUCUUGAAACCUGCUGAAAUUAAAGGUGUUUCACACUUAUAUUGGUCGCUGAAUUGCUCGUUUCACACUUAUAUUAAAGAUUCCAGAAGAUACCGACAGAACCGGAGGAGAGAGAGGGUGGGGGGAGAUCGGAGAAGAGAUGGGAAAGAGAGACGGUGUAGAUCAGGGAAGAGAUGGGAGAGAGAGACGGGGUAGGCUGCUGCCACGCCUCCAGCGGCAGCGAGGGUGGUUAAACCAUCGGAAUCAGGGUCCGCCGCACAUGGUGACGGGGUUUAUGGAUUUCAGCAAUCAAGCGAAGGUAGGGUGUGGGUCACCAGCGACGACAUGGGGUUCCGGUGAUGAAAGUGGUAUUUCGCGAGCACGAUAGUGAUUCUGAUUUAGAACAUGAGGACCUGGCAGUGGGCCCCACCAUAUCUGUGAUUCCUGAAACCGGAAAUGAAAGUGGUAUUUGGCAAGAUUCUCCCAAGUCAGAGACUAUUGAAACUGAUACAACUGUUUUCCUUUCUUUCGUAUGGGAGAACGAAAAACCAUACGAAAAAGCCGUUGAAAGAUUGAUAGAAGAAGGAAAAUUAAUGGACGCUCUUGCUCUUUCUGAUCGAUGCUUACACGAUGGUGCUUCGGAUCAUUUACUUAGUUACUAAUUGAACAUGAAGAGGAAGAUCAUACUGUUUAUAAUCUAUCAGAUAUUUGCUUAGAUGGGAAUUAGAUGCUGCUUUGGAUGUUCUCACCAUGUGCCACUGUCACUUGCUGGAAAAUGAUCCUUAUAAAAACGAGGUUGUUCUAAGGAGACAAGCUUUAAUGCGGUACAGUCAUAUACUAACUGCAGACGAGCGUUACAAUAGCUGGCAAGAGGUUGCGGCAGAGUGUAAGGAAGAUUCCGAGGGUCUAGCCCUUAGGUUAGCGGAAAAGGGAGUUGUUUCUGCUGCUUAAGAUGUUGCUGAAAGUGCAGGGUUAUCUAUUGAACUUCGUAGAGAACUUUAGGGUGUCAACUUGUAAAACUUCUUACAGCUGACCCCAUAACUGGUGGUGGGCCUGCUGAAGCUUCACGGUUUCUGUCUUCCUUGCGUGAUUCAAAAGAUGCUCUUCCGGUUGCAAUGGGAGCAAUUGCCCAACCUUCGAUCUAAACAAUUGCUUGUUCAUUUUUUCCUGAAAAGAAAAGACAGCAACUUAACCCAAACAGAGUUUUCCCGCCUUAAUUUGUGGGCCCUAGGUCUUCGUGUAUUGGUGGUCUUGCCUUUACCAUGGCAGCAAAGAUGCUCUGCAUUGCACGAGCAUCCUCAGCUAAUUGUUGAAGUUUUGCUGAUGCGUAAACAACUGCAAUCUGCUUCUAUGAUACUUAAAGGAUUCCCAUCACUAAGAGACAACAAUACAAUCCUCACAUAUGCUGCUAAGGCAAUUUUGGAUACUAUAAGCCUGCCUUGACGCGAGUCACGAAUACAAGUUUUGGGCCCCAAAACAAAGCAAAAAUCAGGAACCCCUACACGAUCUUCCUUUUCUAAUAGUUUAAGUAACUUGCACAAUUAGGCACGUAGGGCUUUUUCUUAGAACCCAAGAAAUAGUGCAGAGAUAAUCACUCCUAAAGUUCAGAGGAAACGAAAAGGGUCAGGACUUACACAAACGGAUAAAGCCACUUGGGAAGCAAUGGCUGGGAUUCAAGAAGACCGUGUUUCGUCAUACACAAUAGACGGUCAAGAUCGUCUUGCUUCACUUUCUAUUGCUGAUCAGUGGAUGCUCACUGGUGGAAGGGGAGUUGGUGGUGUUCAGAUUUCACUCACGGAUAGCAUCCGAAGCAAACAAAGUAUUUAUUGUCACUCAGUAACUGAUUAAAGUUUGCUUCAGGUGAUUAUGCAUUAGCUCCUACAACAGGCACCAUUAUGUAAGCAAUUGGAGUAGAUGGGUUUGCUGCUGUUGCAAGUGCCACUAGUAGUGAUGCAGGUUCUGUUGCACUUGUUGCAUCAUUUGGAGAUAUCUUUUGAUAGAAGCUUAUGUAUUUGGUAUUUAUAUUUUAAAUUUAUGUAUGGAUUUUGGUUUAUUACUGUUAAUAUUAUUUGGUUUUUAAGUUUUUA